UGAAGGUGCAGUAACAUGCACUGGAGGGCCGAACCGUUGAGCGUUGAAAAGCUCUCGGAUGACCUGUGUCUAGGGGUGAAAGGCCAAUCAAACUUGCUGAUAGCUGGUUCUCCGCGAAAUCUAUUUAGGUAGAGCGUCACGAUUAGACUCUGGGGGGUAGAGCACUGAAUGGGCUAGGGGUCCUCACCGGAUUACCAAACCUUCUCAAACUCCGAAUACCCAGAAGUUAUGCGUGGCAGACACACGGCGGGUGCUAACGUCCGUCGUGAAAAGGGAAACAAC
This 282-nucleotide ribosomal RNA is filed under the name Florenciella parvula. RNAcentral's name for it is "partial Bacterial large subunit ribosomal RNA". It matches the Rfam family "Bacterial large subunit ribosomal RNA", at positions 746 to 1026 of the family's 2925-position model. The record is from RNAcentral. Lineage: Eukaryota; Dictyochophyceae; Florenciellales.